Molecule: ribosomal RNA, 887 nt
Filed under: uncultured bacterium
Lineage: Bacteria
Description: bacterial SSU rRNA
Rfam family: Bacterial small subunit ribosomal RNA
Source: RNAcentral
AGAGUUUGAUCCUGGCUCAGGAUGAACGCUGGCGGCGUGCUUAACACAUGCAAGUCGAACGAUUAAAGCCCCUUCGGGGGUGUAUAGAGUGGCGAACGGGUGAGUAACACGUGGGCAAUCUGCCCCUCACUUCGGGAUAACCCAGGGAAACUUGGGCUAAUACCGGAUACUCCUUGAAGAUCGCAUGGUCUUCUCGGGAAAGUUCCGGCGGUGAGGGAUGAGCCCGCGGCCCAUUAGCUUGUUGGUAGGGUAAUGGCCUACCAAGGCGACGAUGGGUAGCCGCGCUGAGAGGCGGAUCGGCCACACUGGGACUGAGACACGGCCCAGACUCCUACGGGAGGCAGCAGUGGGGAAUUUUGCGCAAUGGGCGAAAGCCUGACGCAGCAACGCCGCGUGAGGGAUGAAGGCCUUCGGGUUGUAAACCUCUUUCAGCAGGGAUGAAACUGACAGUACCUGCAGAAGAAGCCCCGGCUAACUACGUGCCAGCAGCCGCGGUAAUACGUAGGGGGCGAGCGUUAUCCGGAUUCAUUGGGCGUAAAGAGCGCGUAGGCGGCUUGUUAAGCGAGGUGUGAAAUCCGGGGGCUUAACCCGCGGCUUGCAUCUCGAACUGGCAGGCUUGAGUCUGGUAGAGGAGUGUGGAAUUCCCAGUGUAGCGGUGAAAUGCGCAGAUAUUGGGAGGAACACCAGUGGCGAAGGCGGCACUCUGGGCCACGACUGACGCUGAGGCGCGAAAGCUAGGGGAGCAAACAGGAUUAGAUACCCUGGUAGUCCUAGCCGUAAACGAUGGGCACUAGGUGUGGGGGGUAUUACUCCCUCCGUGCCGCAGCUAACGCAUUAAGUGCCCCGCCUGGGGAGUACGGCCGCAAGGCUAAAACUCAAAGGAAUUG